RNAcentral lists this ribosomal RNA (494 nucleotides) under uncultured bacterium. Its description in RNAcentral is "partial 16S ribosomal RNA". It matches the Rfam family "Bacterial small subunit ribosomal RNA", at positions 28 to 507 of the family's 1533-position model. The record is from RNAcentral.
GACGAACGCUGGCGGCGUGCUUAACACAUGCAAGUCGAACGGAAAGGCCUGCUUUCCCUUGUGGAUUGCGGGUACUCGAGUGGCGAACGGGUGAGUAACACGUGAGUGAUCUGCCCCCAACUUGGGUAUAAGCCUGGGAAACUGGGUCUAAUUCCCGAUAGGACUGCAGGGUGGUGCCUGUGGUGGAAAACGAUUUUCUAGUGGUUGGGGAUGAGCUCGCGGCCUAUCAGCUUGUUGGUGGGGUAAUGGCCUACCAAGGCGGCGACGGGUAGCCGGCCUGAGAGGGUGGACGGCCACAUUGGGACUGAGAUACGGCCCAGACUCCUACGGGAGGCAGCAGUGGGGAAUACUGCACCAUGGGCGGAAGCCUGAUGCAGCGACGCCGAGUGGGGGAUGACGGACUUCGGGUUGUAAACUCCUUCCGACAGCGAGGAAGCCACAUGGUUGGAAGGGUGGUGACGGUAGUGGUAGAAGAAGCACCGGCUAACUACGUG